This 253-nucleotide ribosomal RNA is filed under the name uncultured bacterium. RNAcentral describes it as "partial 16S ribosomal RNA". It matches the Rfam family "Bacterial small subunit ribosomal RNA", at positions 524 to 776 of the family's 1533-position model. The record is from RNAcentral.
UACGUAGGUGGCAAGCGUUGUCCGGAAUUACUGGGUGUAGAGCGCGUGUAGGCGGGAGGCCAAGUCUGCUGUGAAAUCGCUCGGCUCAACUGGGCGGGGUCGGUGGAAACUGGUCACCUGGAGGACGGUAGAGGCGAGUGGAAUUCCCGGUGUAGUGGUGAAAUGCGUAGAGAUCGGGAGGAACACCAGUGGCGAAGGCGGCUCGCUGGGCCGGUCCUGACGCUGAGACGCGAAGGCGUGGGGAGCGAACGGG